GGUGGGAUAGCUCAGUUGGUUAGAGCAUCGGAUUCAUAACCCGAAGGUCGGCAGUUCAAAUCUGCUUCCCACUACCA
Molecule: transfer RNA, 77 nt
Filed under: Chitinophagaceae bacterium
Lineage: Bacteria; Pseudomonadati; Bacteroidota; Chitinophagia; Chitinophagales; Chitinophagaceae
Description: tRNA-Met
Rfam family: tRNA
About the family: Transfer RNA (tRNA) molecules are approximately 80 nucleotides in length. Their secondary structure includes four short double-helical elements and three loops (D, anti-codon, and T loops). Further hydrogen bonds mediate the characteristic L-shaped molecular structure. tRNAs have two regions of fundamental functional importance: the anti-codon, which is responsible for specific mRNA codon recognition, and the 3' end, to which the tRNAs corresponding amino acid is attached (by aminoacyl-tRNA synthetases). tRNAs cope with the degeneracy of the genetic code in two manners: having more than one tRNA (with a specific anti-codon) for a particular amino acid; and 'wobble' base-pairing, i.e. permitting non-standard base-pairing at the 3rd anti-codon position.
Source: RNAcentral